RNAcentral lists this transfer RNA (110 nucleotides) under Aureobasidium namibiae CBS 147.97. It matches the Rfam family "tRNA". From Rfam's summary of the family: Transfer RNA (tRNA) molecules are approximately 80 nucleotides in length. Their secondary structure includes four short double-helical elements and three loops (D, anti-codon, and T loops). The record is from Rfam by way of RNAcentral. Lineage: Eukaryota; Fungi; Ascomycota; Dothideomycetes; Dothideales; Saccotheciaceae.
GGAUGCGUGGCCGAGUGGUUAUGGCGCCAGAUUCAAGCGAUUAAAAGCUUCUCAGUUCAAUGAGUUUCCUGGUAACGAAAGUUGCAUGGGUUCGAGUCCCAUCGCAUUCA